GGCACCGUAGCUCAGUUGGUAGAGCGGGGGAUUCAUAAGCCCUAGGUCUCCGGUUCGAGUCCGGACGGUGCCA
RNAcentral lists this transfer RNA (73 nucleotides) under Burkholderiales bacterium. Its description in RNAcentral is "tRNA-Met". It matches the Rfam family "tRNA". Rfam says of the family: Transfer RNA (tRNA) molecules are approximately 80 nucleotides in length. Their secondary structure includes four short double-helical elements and three loops (D, anti-codon, and T loops). RNAcentral also lists the same sequence under 1 other name. The record is from RNAcentral. Lineage: Bacteria; Pseudomonadati; Pseudomonadota; Betaproteobacteria; Burkholderiales.